RNAcentral lists this ribosomal RNA (442 nucleotides) under uncultured bacterium. Its description in RNAcentral is "bacterial SSU rRNA". It matches the Rfam family "Bacterial small subunit ribosomal RNA", at positions 39 to 527 of the family's 1533-position model. The record is from RNAcentral.
UGCGGGGGGGCCUACCAUGCAGUCGACGCCCUCUUCGGAGGGAGUGGCAGACGGGUGAGUAACGCGUGGGAACCUACCUAGUGGUACGGAAUAACUCGGGGAAACCCGUGCUAAUACCGUAUGUGCCCGAAAGGGGAAAGAUUUAUCGCCAUUAGAUGGGCCCGCGUCGGAUUAGCUUGUUGGUGAGGUAAUGGCUCACCAAGGCGACGAUCCGUAGCUGGUCUGAGAGGAUGAUCAGCCACACUGGGACUGAGACACGGCCCAGACUCCUACGGGAGGCAGCAGUGGAGAAUAUUGGACAAUGGGCGCAAGCCUGAUCCAGCCAUGCCGCGUGAGUGACGAAGGCCUUAGGGUUGUAAAGCUCUUUUGGGCGGGGACGAUAAUUGACGGUACCCGCAGAAUAAGCCCCGGCUAACUUCGUGCCAGCAGCCGCGGUAAUACG